RNA transcript from Lolium rigidum, 964 nucleotides. RefSeq lists it as uncharacterized. The record is from RefSeq and is a predicted model, not a curated record. NCBI's taxonomy places the organism in Eukaryota, Viridiplantae, Streptophyta, Magnoliopsida, Poales, Poaceae. The transcript is spliced from 3 exons.
UCGUCUCCUCUCCUCCUGCUACACCUCGGCAACGAGCGGACGCCCCUCUCCCCCACAUCCGGCUCCCAUCACGCGCAUGGAGGUUCAACCGAACCUUCACCACCGCUAUCUGCAGCCAUCCUCGACGUUGUUAGGCUUGCUGCACCAUCGUAGGAACCACGCCGAGGACGGAGAACACAUCUGUGCCAGGGCUGAUCUGCGGCCUCUCGGAUCCAGCGAAGCCCCCUUGGUUGGGGUUCCCAAACCACGACCCCGUCCUCCUCCAAGCCGAAUCCGGGGAGAAGCCGCCGGGCAGGAAGGAUUGGCUUGUAGAUCCAGACCAAGGCCUACAUAUGGUUGUGAUACUCCAUUAGCAAAGCAACUCCGUCCCCUCCACAUUUCAGAGGAGAAGUGCAAGCCUGCCCACUGCUACCGCCGCCGUCCUACAUGCGAGCCUGCCUGGGUUGUGACCUGCGCAACUGCCCAAAAAGGUUCAGUAUCCAAAGUUUCAGGGUUCAUUGGAAGUUUCCAAAUAUGUUGGUCAACAAGUUAUUUGAUUUCUUGCAUGAGAUGCAUCCCGGAGUUGAGGACCGUAAUAUAUUUCUAGGCUUCAGACGACCUGACACGGUUCAUGACAAAUGAUCCUCUCAAAGCGUAGCUAUGUGCAUGUAUUUUCCCUGGCAACCCAAUGGGACAGAGCUACCUAUGAUGGUUGACAUGGACUGUGCUCAGUUGAUUGCCGACAUGCUCAAUAGUGUGUUCCUCUGUUAAAGGUAAGCUAGAGAACUAGCAACCAGGGGCAUACAUUGACAUGGAGUGGAUGGCAAGACACACAGAGGAAAUGCAACGCAUCAAGGUAGCAAGAAGUUGGUGUUUUGUGCUGAUUUGCAUGUGAUUUGAUAGGUACUGACAUUUAAUUUUGCACUAAGGGUAAAUUGAUGAUUUAGCACCAUCGCUUCAUUAUUAAUUUAAGUUAAUGUCUGAA